This 522-nucleotide long non-coding RNA is filed under the name Fukomys damarensis (Damara mole-rat). RNAcentral describes it as "lncRNA (ENSFDAG00000027722.1)". Lineage: Eukaryota; Metazoa; Chordata; Mammalia; Rodentia; Bathyergidae. The record is from RNAcentral.
AGUAAUCACUGUUGGCCUUUGACUGACUCAUCUUCUCUGUGAUGUUUGAUUAUUUUCUACUUCCUCUUUAAAAUACUUCAUUUCUUUGUUUUUUUAAAAAGUAUUUCUUUAUAUUAGUGCAUGAUUGCCAUACAUGACGAUUCCAUUCGUUGUGGGGAGUUGCUACAUGACACAUCUGGUUACUACCUCAUUUUCCCUCCUCUACUUUUUCUGUCUUCUCCAAGGGCCAAGCAGAACCCAGUUAUCCCUUAAGUGUAGGCUUCCUCCUUGGUUGUCUGCUGAUCUCACUGUGGAUGUAACCUCUCACCCCCUCUCACCCUCUGUAUCCCGUGAAAAAAGGAAGGUGGUUUGUUGGAAGUUGGUAAGAAGACUUGAGCAAAAAGCUUCAACUUCUGGACCACACACCUGCUCCGGCCGCGGUGAAUUUACUCCCAGAUCCUCUGUUGUCUCCCCACGCCUUCCCUCUGCAUCUCAGCCUUGCACAUCCUGCUCAUUCCUAAUGGCUGGCUUUCUCCCUCACCG